AUCGAACGCUGGCGGCAUGCCUUACACAUGCAAGUCGAACGGCAGCGCGGGCUUCGGCCUGGCGGCGAGUGGCGAACGGUUGAGUAAUGCAUCGGAACUUGCCCUGUAGUGGGGGAUAGCCCGGCGAAAGCCGGAUUAAUACCCCAUACGACCUGAGGGUGCAAGCGGGGGACCGAAAGUUCUCGCGCUAUUGGAGCGGCCGAAAUCGGUUGAGCUAGUUGGUUGGGUAAAUGCUUAACAAGGCGACGAUCCGUAGCUGGUAUGAGAGGACGACCAGCCACACGGGCUCUGAGGCACGGCCGAGACUCUUGCGGGGAGCAACAGUGGGGACUUUUGCACGAUGGAGCCAACCCUGAUCCUGCAAUGCCGCGUGCAGGAAGAUGGCCUUAGGGUGGUAAAGCGAUUUAGUUCGGGAGGUAGUACUCUGGGCUUAUACCCCGGGAUGAUGACGGUACCGGAAGAAUAAGCACCGGCUAACUCCGUG
This 484-nucleotide ribosomal RNA is filed under the name uncultured bacterium. Its description in RNAcentral is "partial 16S ribosomal RNA". It matches the Rfam family "Bacterial small subunit ribosomal RNA", at positions 30 to 507 of the family's 1533-position model. The record is from RNAcentral.